AAACACUCAUGGCGUCCCCAGGGCAUGCAGGGUAGAGGGUGACGCGAAAUUAAAAGGGAAGGAGAUUAUUUUUAAUCCUCUUGGUAGGUGUUGAAACAAUGCAGGGAGGGCCAAGCCGCUGAGUCGGUCGCCUUAGACUGAGGCUGGAAGGACCGACGCUGCCACUGGGAGCAGGUAUGUCACUUCUCCUUUCGUUCUGCGAGGCGUUUGGGGACUGUUUCCACUAUU
Molecule: long non-coding RNA, 228 nt
Filed under: Capra hircus (goat)
Lineage: Eukaryota; Metazoa; Chordata; Mammalia; Artiodactyla; Bovidae
Description: lncRNA (ENSCHIG00010013838.1)
Source: RNAcentral